AGCGAACGCUGGCGGCAGGCCUAACACAUGCAAGUCGAACGAACCUUUCGGGGUUAGUGGCGGACGGGUGGGGACCACGGGGGAACGUGCCUUUGGGUUCGGAAUCACUCAGGGAAACUUGUGCUAAUACCGCAGGUGCCCUUCGGGGGUAAGAUUUCUCGCCUUUUGAUGGGCCCGCGUCUGAUUCGCUGGUUGGUUAGGGUAAUGGCUCACCACGGCGUGGAUCAGUGGCUGGUGUGGGCGGAUGAUCAGCCACAUUUGGAAUGAGACACGGUCCAAAACCCGACGGGAAGGUGCAGUGGGGAAUCUUGCGGAAUGAGCGCAAGCCUGACGCAGCCAUGCCGGGGGAAUGAUGAAUGUCUUAGGAUUGUAAAAUUCUUUCUGCGGGGACGAUAGUGACGGUACCCGGUGAAGAAGCCCCGGCUAACUUCGUG
Molecule: ribosomal RNA, 434 nt
Filed under: uncultured bacterium
Lineage: Bacteria
Description: partial 16S ribosomal RNA
Rfam family: Bacterial small subunit ribosomal RNA
Source: RNAcentral